AGAAUGAACGUUGGCGGCGUGGAUUAGGCAUGCAAGUCGUACGGGCCGCAAGGCCAGUGGCGCAAGGGUGAGUAAGGCGACGGUAACCAACCCCAUGACUGGGUAUAGCCGCGGGAAACUGCGGGUAAUCCCCAGCGACGUCCGGGAGGGGCAUCCCUCCUUGACCAAAGCUCCGGCGUCGUGGGACGGGCUGUCGUGGUAUUAGCUUGUUGGCGGGGUAACGGCCCACCAAGGCCAUGAUGCCUACCGGGCGUGCGAGCGUGGCCCGGCACACUGGGACUGAGACACUGCCCAGACUCCUACGGGAGGCUGCAGUCGAGAAUCUUCGGCAAUGGGCGCAAGCCUGACCGAGCGACGCCGCGUGGAGGACGAAGGCCUUCGGGUUGUAAACUCCUGUCGAGGGGGAAGAAGGGCCCUUAAAAGCCUUGACUGAUCCCUGGAGGAAGCACGGGCUAAGUUCGCGCCAGCAGCCGC
This 474-nucleotide ribosomal RNA is filed under the name uncultured bacterium. RNAcentral's name for it is "SSU rRNA". It matches the Rfam family "Bacterial small subunit ribosomal RNA", at positions 26 to 518 of the family's 1533-position model. The record is from RNAcentral.